UGAUGUAUUUGCUGCUUCUGUGACCUCUCUGAUAUUGAGUGCUGUGACUUUAUACGUACCAGUGAGUGAAGAGUGAGAGAACAGGAAGGUUGUUUCUUGGUGGACUGAAGGGUGCACUGCGAUUACGGGAGAAAUAAAUAGUGUUUACUGAGUGUUGUGUAGGAACUUGAUUCCCGAGAAUCUAAUUGGUCGCCAAACAAAAAUAACUUUAGUAUGUAGGGUCACGAAGUCUGUCAAGAGAAAUGCAUGGAGACAGUUCUGCUCUACGAUAGGCAGGGGGAUGUAUGGUCUGUGUUGAAGAAGAUGACUUAAAGAAGCAAGUCCACUCGAAUUCCAGUUUUGGUUGUGGGUCAAAAACUCACCCUGAGCAAGGCACACUGGGAAAGGGGAGAGGUGUACACCUGCAGGGUGGUCCUCGACGAUAUCAGUGAAUUCCGCCGCAUUCCAGAAAAGUCACUGUUGUCUAGAGACGGGAGAGGCAAUUGUAGGGGGCUAGAGAGUCCCCACAUGGUGCUAGUUCUGGAAACAAUGUUUUAGAGCUAACUGUUACAGUAUAAUAGUGAAUAAUAUCAUUAGUGCUGUGUGCUAAAUUAACUACUUUGAGAUUAAGUUGUACGUGUCUUCUUUCCUCUGAGAUCACAUACAGUUUGUUUUAAUUGAAAUAUAACCACAAAAGUUACUUUAAUCACGAUUACUGUGAUCACAGUCUAAUGAAGGCAGAACAUUUCAUACAAAUUUUGAUUGAAAAGGAACCUAACCUAAGAUCUGCUCUCAGAACUCACACUGCUAAACAGUACAUUUCCAUAACUUAUUUAUUAUUAAAUGUGUAUUUACUAAUAUGAUUUUAUUAAAUCGUUUCUGCU
Long non-coding RNA from Oncorhynchus tshawytscha (Chinook salmon), 863 nucleotides. The record is from Ensembl. NCBI's taxonomy places the organism in Eukaryota, Metazoa, Chordata, Actinopteri, Salmoniformes, Salmonidae.